RNAcentral lists this ribosomal RNA (159 nucleotides) under Geheebia fallax. RNAcentral describes it as "Didymodon fallax 5.8S ribosomal RNA". It matches the Rfam family "5.8S ribosomal RNA". From Rfam's summary of the family: 5.8S ribosomal RNA (5.8S rRNA) is a component of the large subunit of the eukaryotic ribosome. The record is from RNAcentral. Lineage: Eukaryota; Viridiplantae; Streptophyta; Bryopsida; Pottiales; Pottiaceae.
AAACAACUCUCAGCAACGGAUAUCUUGGYUCUUGCAACGAUGAAGAACGCAGCGAAAUGCGAUACGUAGUGUGAAUUGCAGAAUUCCGCGAAUCAUCGAGUCUUUGAACGCAAGUUGCGCCCGAGGCUUGUCCAAGGGCAUCUCUGCCAGAGCGUCACC